Molecule: long non-coding RNA, 422 nt
Filed under: Malus domestica (apple)
Lineage: Eukaryota; Viridiplantae; Streptophyta; Magnoliopsida; Rosales; Rosaceae
Description: long non-coding RNA (MDOM_LNC007284)
Source: RNAcentral
UCAUAAUAUCCAUAACAUUCUAUGCAUGGCAAUCACAUCAUAUUUCAUUUCAUUUCAAUAUAUUUUUCAUUUAAAUUUGAUUUCUGGGGAAAUCGAGUAUAUAGGUAUAUAUAUAUAUAGAAAGCAAUGCCCACUCACUGGUAUGUCGCCGGGUCGUAACCCCCUUGACGCCCCUGGAUGUGCUCGUCCUCGUUAUAAGUUCCACCUAGAAGUGAAAUAACUUAAAACAAUCAUUUAACGCACAAUUAACGCACCUAAACCAAACUAGGUAAAAAAAUUCUUCAUACGAUGCUCAAAUUGGGUAUAUGAAUAUAUAUACACAGUGACCUACACAACCUCAGGAUCAUCCCCAAAUUUUUAAAAUAAUUUUUGGAGUCCUCACGCGCCCCCACGCGCCUGACGUGGCACGGACCUACGCGCGG